AAACAUAUUACAAACUAACAAUCACACAUCACAAUAAAAAGGAACAAGUAAAUUCGACAUAAAUUGCACAAUCAAACACAACUAUUAAACAUUACUUUCCAAAAAUUGCGCAUAACAAUUUCCAGGAUUAGUGUCCAUCUUAGACAAUAACCUAUCACACACUUCCAUAUUGCUUCCAUUCACAAAUGUAUGCCAACCCUGCCUAUGAAUUUCUUCAACAAAUCACCAUCUUCGAGUACAAUGUAACAGUAAAACAAAUCCACUGUUUCUUCUUCAUAAUCAAGUAAAUUCAAUGUCAAAGUCUCUUGAGUUGGAUUAUAACGAUCUCCUACUAUAUGAUUGGGAAUUCAAUGCAAUUUUUUUUAAAUCAAGUAGUAUAUUAACAAUAUUUAAUAUAUUUUCAUAUAACUAUUUGUAUUUUAAAAAAAUCGAAUUUGCUCACAAGCUUAUGGGUUGGACGCAAAUGGUCAUGGUUCACAAGAAUCUCCCAAAAAUUAUUACGAACAUUCAAACAUGGAGGUACCUCAACUGGUAUACGGUAAUAAUAUUCAAGCUUAUGCUCAUCUUUGGAACCUGAACCAGAUCCAACUCCAUCAACAACUUUUGGCUCACUGCAUAGUUCAUUUCAUAAAACCAAAUUAACAUAUGAUUUUUACAUUUACUAACUAAUAUAAGUGAUGUGUUUUAGGAUUUUACCUUUUUUCUGUUGACAUCUUCAAGCAACAAAAUUUCAGAUAUAAUACACAGACUCAAGCUUUUGCCAAAUCCA
RNAcentral lists this long non-coding RNA (769 nucleotides) under Medicago truncatula (barrel medic). Its description in RNAcentral is "long non-coding RNA (MTRU_LNC001803)". Lineage: Eukaryota; Viridiplantae; Streptophyta; Magnoliopsida; Fabales; Fabaceae. The record is from RNAcentral.